CUACGGGCCGCAGCAGUGGGGGAUAUUGCACAAUGGAGGAAACUCUGAUGCAGCAACGCCGCGUGAAGGAAGACGGUUUUCGGAUUGUAAACUUCUAUCAGCUGGGAAGAAAAUGACGGUACCAGACUAAGAAGCCCCGGCUAACUACGUGCCAGCAGCCGCGGUAAUACGUAGGGGGCAAGCGUUAUCCGGAUUUACUGGGUGUAAAGGGUUCGUAGGCGGUUAUUUAAGUCAGAUGUGAAAGCCCGAGGCUCAACCUCGGGACUGCAUUUGAAACUGGAUAACUAGAGUACAGGAGAGGAAAGCGGAAUUCCUAGUGUAGCGGUGAAAUGCGUAGAUAUUAGGAAGAACACCAGUGGCGAAGGCGGCUUUCUGGACUGUAACUGACGCUGAUGAACGAAAGCGUGGGGAGCGAACAGGAUUAGAUACCCUUGUAGUC
This 439-nucleotide ribosomal RNA is filed under the name uncultured bacterium. Its description in RNAcentral is "partial 16S ribosomal RNA". It matches the Rfam family "Bacterial small subunit ribosomal RNA", at positions 339 to 795 of the family's 1533-position model. The record is from RNAcentral.